RNAcentral lists this ribosomal RNA (165 nucleotides) under uncultured bacterium. RNAcentral's name for it is "partial 16S rRNA". It matches the Rfam family "Bacterial small subunit ribosomal RNA", at positions 355 to 511 of the family's 1533-position model. The record is from RNAcentral.
UAGGGAAUCUUCGGCAAUGGACGAAAGUCUGACCGAGCAACGCCGCGUGAGUGAAGAAGGUUUUCGGAUCGUAAAACUCUGUUGGUAGAGAAGAUCGUUGGUGAGAGUGGAAAGCUCAUCAAGUGACGGUAACUACCCAGAAAGGGACGGCUAACUACGUGCCAC